AUGGGCUAGCUGCCUAAUUUGGAUCAUUGUAUGAAGACUUCUGCAGCAUCGCCUUAGUGACCCUUCUACUAAGAUCAGCUGUAAACACCCACAUUCCAAGACUAGAGUUGGGAAGCAAACUGAAGUGGCAUACUUGAUAUACUUUAGACAUAACCGUGCCUAAUAGUCUAGUUCAGAGUCAAGGAGAUAGACUUUACAGAAAGUCCACACACAACAAGAGCCACAAAAGACCAUUGCAGUGUCUGAAACCCACCACCUAAAAUCAGUAGAUGCACUGCGAAACAAGGAGUAAAGCUAAUAAGAUCUACAACAUGCAGUUUAUCUGAGAGAACAAUCAUAUUUAAACAAAAAAGAAAUUUAGGGAAAAACUGUUUUUCAACAGCUCAUCACAUCUACCAAAGAAAACUAAAGCUAAUCCAACACCAGUAUUGUUCUUCCAAAUAAAGAACAUAUGAAGAGUCUUCAAGUGAAGUCUUAUAGAUUCUUCAAAGUGUGAUUUUAUUUUAUUUUUUCUCCUCAAAAUCACUAGACCAACACAGUUUUGGAGAAGCUCUUUGCACUAUCUCACCAGAUAUGGUCUCCCUGCCCUCUUUUGGCCAACACCUAUCAACACAUAUAGGCACCAAGCUGCGUACAAAUGAUCAAAUAUGUGGCUCAAUUGCUGAAAAGAUUGCCAAAUUUAGGGCAAGUUCCAUGUCCCAGAAGGGAGAGGGGUCUUUCCCUCAUGCUGACAACAACAUGCCACAAGAUAGAAGAGAAGAACUCCACCAAACUUCCACUUCUUACAUGGAUCAGCAACGUCUUCAUUUUGCCGAGUUGAAUCCAGGGCCUACAGAAAAAGGUUGUCCACAAAUCCUGCCAGAAGAAACUGUCACUUUGGCAAAGAGCUUGUUGGUUCCGUCUGACAUUUCUGCAACGACUUGGGACAAAGUACCAGAGAAAUGUCCAAGUUCAACACUUAGUUGCAACUCAUCACAGCUACAUGGCAGAAAGGAUUUGGAAAAACAAGAUGUUAGGAGUGAUGAUUCAACAGGUGUAGAGAGUUCAAAAAUCACCAAAAAUUUUGAAGACCAACAACAUUGUCAUUUUGCCUUUGAAGGAAAUGUACAUGUAUCAAAACAAUCACUCAGUCAAAACUCUUCAUGUUCUGGUGAAGAAUUUGAACAUCAAUUGAGUCCCAAGUGUCACAGCGAGAGAGAUUUUGGAGGACAAUUAGGUUCCUGUUUUGGUUUGAAAGAUGAGUUUGAAAGCCAGACUGAUGAUGAGGAUGACAUUUGGGAUGUCAUACCCUUAAAUCUUGAUAACCUUAGUUUUGAGCAAGCCGAUUACCAGCCUACCCCAGAAUACAUUUCACAAUACAAGUGUGAACAUGAAGUUUGCAGGGUUACAAAAGCAGUCCCUGCUUCUGCCUUUUUGAAAAUGGAAGUCUUUGACACCCCCGAUGAACAGAAUCAAACUUUCAAAUGUGGUCAACUUUCCUUUGUUGUCCCAUCUUCCUGUUGUUAUGAGUCAUUUAUGCAAAGGAAAGACUCAAGCUCAGAACAUGAAGAUUGCUGUGAAACCGACAAUGGCGCUGAUUACUCGCCUGCUCCAGAAAUCAACAAUUUGACUGUUUGCAGAGACUUGAAGAAAAGAUUUUCUGAACCUGUAAAACCAAAAACUGAUUAUUGUGGAUCUGAAAAAAAGAGCUAUAAGAUGGCAAGUUUGCAAGAAAGUCAAGCUUGGGGAAGACCUCAAGAAGACCCACAAGAAGAAAGUAUAAUUAUCAUUGAUUCUGAUUCUGAAAGUGACAUUGAUUGCAUGGAAAAGCAAGAAAGGGACAAAAUGCGUCUACCUGUAGACCAACAGCACCAUGUAAAUACUAACUUAACACAAGGGACUGAAAAAUGUGGACUAAAUCAAAAUGAAAAGUGCAGACCAAGAAUUUCAAAUGACGAACAUAUAAUAAUUAUUCUGUCAGACUCUGAUGAUGAUUACAGGGAAAUAUCUAACAUAAAAGAAACUUCUAUUUUAGAGUCUAUGGACAAUGGCAAUUCUGAAAUGGCUAAAAGUACACUGCUGAAUAAAAAGCCUUUAGCAGAUUUCCUUAAGCCAAAACAUGAUCAUGCAUCUGAACACGAGAAACUAAAAACCAGCAGAGAAGUUAUGCCUGCAAACUGCUAUGAAAGCAAGAGAAAAGCAAACAAUGAUUCUCAAAAGAAGAGAGUAGUAUCGCCAGAAAGAGAAGAUGAUGACAAUGACUUACACAUUCCAAGAAGUGAUCUUUCUGCUGAAAGGAAAAGAGUUAAGACAACUGUUUAUAAUCCAAGAAGCAACCAGAAAAGUAAGCGUUUGGCAGAGCCAGAUACCCCACUAGGUGACAGUCCUGUGAAUAUUCAGCCAUCUCAUUUGAGUCUAGACAAAGGUGGAUUCUCUUCAGACCCCUCCAAAGCCACUAGCAAAAAUGACUUGUUUACAUCUAGGUUGAGGCGUUUUCUCAGAGAGAAACAAAACAAAAAAACAAAGCCUCCAGGAGUCUACAAUGCAGCAGUAGUCAAAUUUAACCAGAGUUCACUUCAACCUAGAAGACGUGUUGUUUCACCUAAACAACGAGCUCCCUUUUUCAAGUCCGCAACAUCAUAUUCUCCCUUCGCUCCCCAAAACGGCACAUCUUUGACUACCCCAAAGUCAAUUCAAGGAACAAGCCACGCAAGGACCAAAAUAUUUGGUGACUGGGAGAAGCAACAUGUACCACUCAGGAAGGAGAGAAAAUUCUACAAGGGAGCCAAACACUUAAGACGCACUCUCUAA
Molecule: long non-coding RNA, 2790 nt
Organism: Nothobranchius furzeri (turquoise killifish)
Lineage: Eukaryota; Metazoa; Chordata; Actinopteri; Cyprinodontiformes; Nothobranchiidae
Source: Ensembl